GACGAACGCUGGCGGCGUGCUUAACACAUGCAAGUCGAACGGAAAGGCCCUGCUUUUGUGGGGUGCUCGAGUGGCGAACGGGUGAGUAACACGUGAGUAACCUGCCCUUGACUUUGGGAUAACUUCAGGAAACUGGGGCUAAUACCGGAUAGGAGCUCCUGCUGCAUGGUGGGGGUUGGAAAGUUUCGGCGGUUGGGGAUGGACUCGCGGCUUAUCAGCUUGUUGGGGGGGUAGUGGCUUACCAAGGCUUUGACGGGUAGCCGGCCUGGGAGGGUGGCCGGCCACAUUGGGACUGAGAUACGGCCCAGUCUCCUACGGGAGGCAGCGGUGGAGAAUAUUGCACAAUGGGCGGAAGCCUGAUGCAGCAACGCCGCGUGCGGGAUGACGGCCUUCGGGUUGUAAACCGCUUUCGCCUGUGACGAAGCGUGAGUGACGGUAAUGGGUAAAGAAGCACCGGCUAACUACGUG
Molecule: ribosomal RNA, 468 nt
Filed under: uncultured bacterium
Lineage: Bacteria
Description: partial 16S ribosomal RNA
Rfam family: Bacterial small subunit ribosomal RNA
Source: RNAcentral